CUCUUACAGAAUUUGUGUGCUGAAUGUAAUGACAGAUUAUGGGUGGAAUGCCAUUUCCGAGAUCAGUGAAAAAGAAGCAAAUUCCUGGUGCUCGGUAUGUACUAUAGCUUGAUAGCAUUUGGUCUAGAUCAGGCAUUUGCUAGUUCAACACCUCCUUUGAAACCAAGAACGAGAGUAACACAAAGAAUCAUGAGGAUGUAGUUUACCUCUGGGGAAUAGAUUUGUCCUUCAUGCUUGGAUGAAGUAUGUAUAAUGUUUACUCGAGGGAAGCAUCCAAGAGCAAGUGAUUGCUUUACAAUGGAAAAAGUUGCUGAUAUCAUGGACUGGCUAGCAACCACGGCAGCUAGAGUUGAGAUUACAAACAUUGGCCAGUAAACAGGUUUUGGUAGGGAACUGUAAUAAGCGUUGUUGAUAUUCUCCGGAUACCUCACUAGAUAAGCUGUUUCUCCGGCAUAGCUGAGAACUAGGGAUGGAUAAACUAUAAAAGAAAAUGCCAACUGCAAGACUCAUUGUACAGAAAUGCCAUCAAUCAGAUUAACUUUUCUAAUGGUAGAUUAGAGUUCUUUGUUCCUUACCUGAAUUGCUCUUUUAUUGAAAUGACCUAAAUCAGCAAACAUGGCUUCCGCUCCUGCAUGACAGUUUAAAACAUGUCGGAAGUGAACUAAUUUUCUCCUAUUUCAUAUGCUUUUCUUUUAUCUUUUUUUUUUCCCUCAAAAGUAGUUGUAAAGUUAAACCUGUAAUGCUUAGAAAUACUGCACCGAGAAGAUUCCAAGCAGUCUUUCCAUUUCUUGAAACAAAUUUCACUAUGUAGUGUGGAGAAAUGGCUUUAAGAACGGAUGGAUAGUACUCCAAAAUAUUGUAGAUACCGACUGAAACAUUGGUAGCAAACCACAAUAACAUUACGGGUGUGAAGCAGAAGCUAACUUUGCUUGUUCCACAGCGUUGAAAAGUGAAAAGUGCAAUUAACAUAAUCACAGACAUGAAAACCACAUGAUCUGCAGCCAAUAGAACUUUCAUUAAACCUCACGUUUUGAGAGAGAUUGAAUUCCUUGCAGGGCUGAGAGAACUGAUGUAACAAGUGUAUGGACAUGAGGCAACGUCGAAAGGAAAUAUAACUUGGAGAAAACAAAGGAAGAAUGUUACCGCAAGUAGCAGGAGUGAGAGCUCCAUCACCAAUGACCAUACAAGUUCCAAGUAAAACAACAAAAGUAAGAACAUUUUGAGCUGUGGAACUUCUCUCCAGGAACUUCUUAGUUUUUGAACGCCUAGAACUUCCACUCUCUUGGCUGUAAUAAGCCAUGCUCUCAUCAGAUUCCAUCCUAACGUUGUGGAUAC
Solanum verrucosum is the source of this 1335-nucleotide long non-coding RNA. RefSeq lists it as uncharacterized. The transcript has 3 exons. The record is from RefSeq and is a predicted model, not a curated record. NCBI's taxonomy places the organism in Eukaryota, Viridiplantae, Streptophyta, Magnoliopsida, Solanales, Solanaceae.